RNAcentral lists this transfer RNA (69 nucleotides) under Ictidomys tridecemlineatus (thirteen-lined ground squirrel). RNAcentral's name for it is "Spermophilus tridecemlineatus (thirteen-lined ground squirrel) tRNA". It matches the Rfam family "tRNA". Rfam says of the family: Transfer RNA (tRNA) molecules are approximately 80 nucleotides in length. Their secondary structure includes four short double-helical elements and three loops (D, anti-codon, and T loops). Lineage: Eukaryota; Metazoa; Chordata; Mammalia; Rodentia; Sciuridae. The record is from Rfam by way of RNAcentral.
GGGGUUGUAACUCAGUGGUAGAGUGCUUGCCUAGCAUGUAUGAGGCACUGGGUUCGAUCCUCAACCCCA